UGGUUGAAUGAUAAUUAAUGAUUAAUAACUAAUAUGCACUUCUUUAAUUUUAACCACUUCUCCUCCAUCCCCAAAUAAGAAAAAGAAAAAAGGAAAACAAUUAGUAAUUUGGUAGGGGUGGGGGUAAUACCGGUAUUGAUAGAAGAAGAGAACAUUGUGUUGCAAUUGCGGCAAUCGGGAGAAAUCGAAACACAAGAAGCUUGAUUUGGUUCUAUAAUUAUUUGACGAAGAGACAGAAUUUCGGUUACUUUCAGACGGUGGGAGCUCGUAUUUGCUGCACUGGAAGCCAAAGCCCUACACUUGUAGCAGUUCUUUCAGUAAUCCUUCCUUUCCAAGAAAUAAAUAGGCCAAAGAAGGGUUUGAAGUGAUGACGUUUGACCUCAAGGGUUAAGAGAAACUAAUACCCGAGUAAACUGAAAAGACACAAUGUUUUCUUUAUUUUAUGGCCUGUGGAAGUACCUAUUUAGUAAGACAGAGUUUCAUGUUCUCAUACUAGGAAUUGACAAGGCGGGGAAAACAACUUUGCUUGAGAAGUUGAAGUCCUUAUACUCAAACUUGGAAGGGCUCUCCCCUGAUCGGAUUGUUCCAACUGUUGGACUCAAUAUUGGGCGUCUUGAGGUGUUGAAUGCAAAGCUUGUCUUCUGGGAUCUGGGAGGUCAGCCUGGCCUUCGUUCUAUUUGGGAAAAAUAUUAUGAAGAGGCACAUGCUGUGAUCUAUGUGAUUGAUGCUGCUUGUCCUUCAAAAUUUGAAGAUUCCAAAUCUGCACUGGAGAAAGUUCUUCGACACGAGGAUUUGCAAGGAGCUCCACUUUUGGUUCUAGCAAACAAGCAGGAUCUUCCGGAAGCAGUAUCAGCAGAAGAACUUUCUCGCUAUCUCGAUCUUAAAAAGUUGGACGAAAGAGUCUACAUGUUUGAAGCUGUUUCUGGCUAUGAUGGGAUGGGGAUAAAGGAUAGUGUCGAAUGGUUGGUAGAUAUAAUGGAAAGAAGUAAAAGAACCGAAAUAUUGAGAGCUCGAGCAGGUGGGGCUGGUCUCCGUUCUGCUUAGAUCAAAUACGAAACAAUUAUAGUUGGUCUAUAUUUCUUCCAUAAACUUGUGGACAAACCAGGUGUUAGAGGCCCCUAAUUCGAAUUACAUCUUCCUGUCCGAGAGCAUCCACUCGAUCUGGCUUCCUGUUAUCUAGCUUUACUACAAAAUGUAAAGAUAAUAUUGAUUCAAAGGCUAAUUGGUAGCUUUAGAAUUCCCACCACUGAAGUACAGAAUUACGUGUUUGAACCUGGGAAUGUUUUUCAUAGCCAUUCUUGGCUGACCCUAUUUCAUACGAGUCAUCUGAAUUUUGUCAUCCAUUUUAUAAAGUUGUUAAUUUCUAGUAAGUUGUUAA
RNA transcript from Cucumis sativus (cucumber), 1378 nucleotides. It is a transcript of the gene named ADP-ribosylation factor-related protein 1, with no coding region annotated. Lineage: Eukaryota; Viridiplantae; Streptophyta; Magnoliopsida; Cucurbitales; Cucurbitaceae. The transcript is spliced from 8 exons. The record is from RefSeq and is a predicted model, not a curated record.